Molecule: long non-coding RNA, 1027 nt
Filed under: Sus scrofa (pig)
Lineage: Eukaryota; Metazoa; Chordata; Mammalia; Artiodactyla; Suidae
Description: lncRNA (ENSSSCG00005030260.1)
Source: RNAcentral
GUGACAACCAGGUGCUGCUUUUGAGGGCAGCACCUGCCUUUAGCUGGGUGCAGAACAGAAUGAAGGGCGGUUUCCAGCCUGGUGCCAAUCCCUGCCUCCCCAGCCUCCUUCUCUUUGCUUCUGUCGCCUUCCGGGCUCCCUGGGGAGCAGGAGAAGGUGGGAGGAGAGCUGAGAGCCACCGGGUAAGGCGGACAACUCCCCGGGAGCAGCUUCAAUCGCAGUCCAGCUGCGAGCAGACAUGCGGGUCUUCCACCGAGACUGGCUGCUGCCCUGGGUGCCUCUCGGCAUCCUGGCAGAGAGGGGCUGGGAGCAGUUCCAGGUUCCUCUAAAGGAGGUGAAAUGCACGUAAAGGCAUGUCACAGACUCAGCAUGCAGGACUGGCUUCCCGCGAGGUGGACGGCAGUGGGAUGGGAGAAGGGGCAGAGAGGACCAGAUGGGAAGCAGGAAGAAACUGGGUGGCACCUGCCAGGAAGGUGAAGAAGCACGAAAAGGACAAAGACAAUAUGGAAUCUGCUGUAAAGAAAGGUCCUUCCCUGGCAGAUUAGAGAAUCAAUAAUUUAAAUACAACUCAUUACUCUUUACCUAACUGCAGCUUCUGAGUCCCCAGUGCCUCUGUCUCUAUGGUCCAACCCCCACCUCACUCCUCCCGGGGCUUCGCUCUCUAUCUUCUCAAGGCCUCCUGUCGUUUUGUGCUGAGCAUGAAGACUCCAACGUCAAAACAGGAUGGAUCAUGGGGACGGGCAGACUUGACUUUGCCUUCUUGAGCCUUGUGGCCCGAUAAUCCUAUAAGCUAUUGUGGGGGAGGGGGGUCAUGCUUUUCUUUUUUUCUUUUUUUCUUUUUUAAUAAAAAAAGUUUUACUCCCCAGGAGCAAAUAAAUCAUUUUGAACUACUGAUAAAACACUGCUGCAGUGAAAAGAAAGAUGGCUACAUGUAUGCAAUAGCACAAAUUCAGUGUAAGAACAGCUGUGUUGACAAUUAGAGAUAAAAAUCAUUUAUCCAUUUCCCCCUUUCCCACAAACCAAACCA